RNAcentral lists this ribosomal RNA (301 nucleotides) under uncultured bacterium. RNAcentral's name for it is "partial 16S ribosomal RNA". It matches the Rfam family "Bacterial small subunit ribosomal RNA", at positions 509 to 807 of the family's 1533-position model. The record is from RNAcentral.
CAGUCGCCGCGGGAAUACGGAAGGUCCAGGCGUUAUCCGGAUUUAUUGGGUUUAAAGGGAGUGUAGGCGGUCUGUUAAGCGUGUUGUGAAAUUUAGGUGCUCAACAUCUAACUUGCAGCGCGAACUGGCGGACUUGAGUGCACGCAACGUAUGCGGAAUUCAUGGUGUAGCGGUGAAAUGCUUAGAUAUCAUGACGAACUCCGAUUGCGAAGGCAGCGUACGGGAGUGUUACUGACGCUUAAGCUCGAAGGUGCGGGUAUCAAACAGGAUUAGAUACCCCGGUAGUCCCUGUCUCUUAUAC